This 506-nucleotide ribosomal RNA is filed under the name uncultured bacterium. Its description in RNAcentral is "partial 16S ribosomal RNA". It matches the Rfam family "Bacterial small subunit ribosomal RNA", at positions 29 to 523 of the family's 1533-position model. The record is from RNAcentral.
AGUGAACGCUGGCGGUAGGCCUAACACAUGCAAGUCGAACGGCAGCACAGAGGAGCUUGCUCCUUGGGUGGCAAGUGGCGGACGGGUGAGGAAUACAUCGGAAUCUACUCUGUCGUGGGGGAUAACGUAGGGAAACUUACGCUAAUACCGCAUACGACCUACGGGUGAAAGCUGGGGAUCUUCGGACCUUGCGCGAUUGAAUGAGCAGAUGUCGGAUUAGCGAGUUGGCGGGGUAAAGGCCCACCAAGGCGACGCUCCGUAGCUGGUCUGAGAGGAUGAUCAGCCACACUGGAACUGAGACACGGUCCAGACUCCUACGGGAGGCAGCAGUGGGGAAUAUUGGACAAUGGGCGCAAGCCUGAUCCAGCCAUACCGCGUGGGUGAAGAAGGCCUUCGGGUUGUAAAGCCCUUUUGUUGGGAAAGUAAUCCAGCUGGCUAAUACCCGGUUGGGAUGACGGUACCCAAAGAAUAAGCACCGGCUAACUUCGUGCCAGCAGCCGCCGUAA